UGUCAAGAUCUCGUGUCCUAGGUCUUUAAAUACUCAGAGUUGUAGACGAGUCAGUCAUUGCAUCAACCUGAUCCAGUCUGUCAAUCUUUUGAUUGUUUCCAAAGCUGCUGAUCUCCACUGUCUAAGCCUGUUUUAAGAUGCGUUCUCUGAUUCUUCUUGUACUUGUUGCUGCCAUAGGAUUGGCUGCGGCUCUAUGGAGUGAAUCUUCUUGCAAUGAAGAAGGUGUACAGCUUCCUGAAUGUGUAACUGAAUAUUUGAUGUGUAAAGAAAACGUUGUCUCUGUGCUCAAAGCGAUAGUGCUUAGAUACGAUGCAAGUGUUAUCCUUCAAUCAAUGAAGGAAGCAGGUUUGUUGCAAAAGAUCGACCGGCUAGCAGCAAACGUUGUCGAUCAAGUGUAUGCAAUCGUGCAGGACGUACCUAUUGAAGAUACCAAAAAUACACUUGAAGGACUGCAAGGACAAAUACUGUUUUGAGAUUUGAAACAAAAUUCAGUGUAUGACAAAAUAAAAUAUAUUAAGUUUAUGGUGUCCACCACAAUGUUCACUUUUGGCAAACAGUAGUUACAAAUUAAAAGUGCAAAAAAUAAUUA
Long non-coding RNA from Biomphalaria glabrata, 589 nucleotides. RefSeq lists it as uncharacterized. The record is from RefSeq and is a predicted model, not a curated record. The transcript has 3 exons. NCBI's taxonomy places the organism in Eukaryota, Metazoa, Mollusca, Gastropoda, Planorbidae.